UACGUAGGGGGCAAGCGUUGUCCGGAUUUAUUGGGCGUAAAGAGCGUGUAGGCGGUCUGGUAGGUCCGUUGUGAAAACUCGAAGCUCAACCUCGAGACGCCGAUGGAAACCAUCAGACUAGAGUCCGGAAGAGGAGAGUGGAAUUCCCGGUGUAGUGGUGAAAUGCGUAGAGAUCGGGAGGAACACCUGUGGCGAAGGCGGCCCCCUGGGCCGGCCCUGACACUGAGACGCGAAGGCGUGGGGAGCGAACGGG
RNAcentral lists this ribosomal RNA (253 nucleotides) under uncultured bacterium. RNAcentral describes it as "partial 16S ribosomal RNA". It matches the Rfam family "Bacterial small subunit ribosomal RNA", at positions 524 to 776 of the family's 1533-position model. The record is from RNAcentral.